UCGGGAAUAUUGCGCAAUGGAGGAAACUCUGACGCAGUGACGCCGCGUGCAGGAAGAAGGUUUUCGGAUUGUAAACUGCUUUAGACAGGGAAGAAACAAAUGACAGUACCUGUAGAAUAAGCUCCGGCUAACUACGUGCCAGCAGCCGCGGUAAUACGUAGGGAGCAAGCGUUAUCCGGAUUUAUUGGGUGUAAAGGGUGCGUAGAUGGACAAACAGGUUGGUUGUGAAAUACCUCGGCUCAACUGAGGAACUGCAACCAAAACUGUAGGUCUUGAGUACUGGAGGGGAAAGCGGAAUUCCUAGUGUAGCGGUGAAAUGCGUAGAGAUUAGGAGGAACACCAGAGGCGAAGGCGGCCUACUGGACCACAACUGACGCUGAGGCUCGAAAGCGUGGGGAGCAAACAGGAUUAGAUACCCUGGUAGU
Molecule: ribosomal RNA, 425 nt
Filed under: uncultured Acetivibrio sp.
Lineage: Bacteria; Bacillati; Bacillota; Clostridia; Acetivibrionales; Acetivibrionaceae
Description: bacterial SSU rRNA
Rfam family: Bacterial small subunit ribosomal RNA
Source: RNAcentral